GAGGGCAAGUCUGGUGCCAGCAGCCGCGGUAAUUCCAGCUCUCAAAAUGCAUAGAAUUAUUGCUGCGGUUAAAAAGCUCGUAGUUGGAUCUGUGCUGGGAAUUGGGUCCGCCUUCGGGUGUGCACUCAGCUU
This 132-nucleotide ribosomal RNA is filed under the name Aphelenchus sp. 2 MK-2017. RNAcentral's name for it is "partial 18S rRNA". It matches the Rfam family "Eukaryotic small subunit ribosomal RNA", at positions 551 to 682 of the family's 1831-position model. Lineage: Eukaryota; Metazoa; Nematoda; Chromadorea; Rhabditida; Aphelenchidae. The record is from RNAcentral.